ACGCAUCACUGGUGUUCGGGUUGUCAUGCCAAUGGCACUGCCCGGUAGCUAAAUGCGGAAGAGAUAAGUGCUGAAAGCAUCUAAGCACGAAACUUGCCCCGAGAUGAGUUCUCCCUGAGACUUUAAGUCUCCUGAAGGAACGUUGAAGACGACGACGUUGAUAGGUCGGGUGUGUAAGCGCAGCGAUGCGUUGAGCUAACCGAUACUAAUGAACCGUGAGGCUUAACCUUAC
Molecule: ribosomal RNA, 232 nt
Filed under: Enterobacter cloacae subsp. cloacae GS1
Lineage: Bacteria; Pseudomonadati; Pseudomonadota; Gammaproteobacteria; Enterobacterales; Enterobacteriaceae
Description: partial 23S ribosomal RNA
Rfam family: Bacterial large subunit ribosomal RNA
Source: RNAcentral